Molecule: transfer RNA, 77 nt
Filed under: Brevundimonas sp. Leaf363
Lineage: Bacteria; Pseudomonadati; Pseudomonadota; Alphaproteobacteria; Caulobacterales; Caulobacteraceae
Also listed under: 1 other name
Description: tRNA-Arg
Rfam family: tRNA
About the family: Transfer RNA (tRNA) molecules are approximately 80 nucleotides in length.
Source: RNAcentral
GCGCCCUUAGCUCAACCGGAUAGAGCACCCGCCUUCUAAGCGGACGGUUACAGGUUCGAGUCCUGUAGGGCGCGCCA